GCACGGGUGCGUAACGCGUAUACAAUCUACCUUUUACAGAGAGAUACCCCAGAGAAAUUUGGAAUAAUACCUCAUAAUAUUGUUAAUUGGCAUCAAUUGACAAUUAAAGUUUCGGCGGUAAGAGAUGAGUAUGCGUCCUAUUAGCUAGUUGGUAAGGUAACGGCUUACCAAGGCGACGAUAGGUAGGGGUCCUGAGAGGGAGAUCCCCCACACUGGUACUGAGACACGGACCAGACUCCUACGGGAGGCAGCAGUGAGGAAUAUUGGUCAAUGGGCGAAAGCCUGAACCAGCCAUGCCGCGUGCAGGAAGACUGCCCUAUGGGCUGUAAACUGCUUUUAUACAGGAAGAAACACUCGGACGUGUCCGAGCUUGACGGUACUGUAUGAAUAAGCACCGGCUAACUCCGUGCCAGCAGCCGCGGUAAUACGGAGGGUGCAAGCGUUAUCCGGAAUCAUUGGGUUUAAAGGGUCCGUAGGCGGAUUAAUAAGUCAGGGGUGAAAUCCCACAGCUUAACUGUGGAACUGCCUUUGAUACUGUUAGUCUUGAGUUAUAUGGAAGUAGAUAGAAUGUGUAGUGUAGCGGUGAAAUGCAUAGAUAUUACACAGAAUACCGAUUGCGAAGGCAGUCUACUACGUAUAUACUGACGCUAAUGGACGAAAGCGUGGGGAGCGGACAGGAUUAGAUACCCUGGGUAGUCCACGCCGUAAACGAUGGACACUAGUUGUUGGAGCAACUCAGUGACUAAGCGAAAGUGAUAAGUGUCCCACCUGGGGAGUACGAUCGCAAGAUUGAAACUCAAAGGAAUUGACGGGGGCCCGCACAAGCGGUGGAGCAUGUGGUUUAAUUCGACGAUACGCGAGGAACCUUACCAGGGCUAAAU
This 881-nucleotide ribosomal RNA is filed under the name uncultured bacterium. RNAcentral describes it as "bacterial SSU rRNA". It matches the Rfam family "Bacterial small subunit ribosomal RNA", at positions 100 to 985 of the family's 1533-position model. The record is from RNAcentral.